CAGCCCCUGCCUGUUUCUGCCAAAGUUCCCAGGGUAAGCUUUCUUUAAUGCUUCCACCUUCUUCCAUGGUUUCACCUGCAGUUAUUGAAGAAACAAAUCUGUAAAUUAUUUCAGUCAUUCACUCUCUGCCGAAAGUUCCAAGAGCUUUGGCACGUUGAUUCACUAGCUCAACCACAAUAGCCAACUACACAUUUUAAGGUAUUUACCUAGCCCCAUAUACUGUAUUCCAUCACACAUUUUCUGCAUCCAAGCAUGAUAGACAAACAAAACCAAUAUGUGAGAAUGAACAUAGCAGCAUGAAGAACCAGCAACAUAUAGCAUUUAACAGAUUUUGACCUUCACACCAUAGCUUUACCAUCUCACAACUGAUAAACCAUGUACAUUAAGAUACCUCAGAAAAUUCAUACGCAGUAGUUGUAAAGUGAGAGUAGGGAACUUAGCUUCUGAGAGGGAGGAGGACUGAACGGCUUCGAGGAGGAGGCGAGGCGACACCCUUCGCCGGAAAUCGCACAGCAGCAGCCGACCUGAACCAUGGUCGAGCAGGGGCUCGAGCGCACCAGCAGCGGACGCACGGCAACGGCGUUCUGCCCUUUUUGAAACCUAAGGCUCGACGUCGGAGAGGGAUAUCAAGAUGGGAGUUGGACGGCGCCGCUCCCAGACGCCGACUGAGUCGCUGGAUUCCAGUAGCAGCGGCGUCGGGGCUCGGGAAAUCGACGGCGGCAGUGGCCAGGUGCUCCUGCUGCCCGUCGAUUCAGAGAGAGCAGUGGGUGGACGGCGGCUGGACGCGGGGGCUGGUCGGCGGAGGGAGAGAUGUCGGGCCUGUUUCAGCGAGAAAGAAGAGAGAACCAAGGAGCAGUGGUUGUCGCCGCUCGCUCCGGCGAGCUCGGACGGCGGUGACUUCGGGAGAGAGAGAGAGACGAACAGAUCUUGAGAGAGGAGUCGGCGACUGCUCUGAAUCGGAAGACGGCGGCGCUGAAUCGAUGGAG
Molecule: long non-coding RNA, 986 nt
Filed under: Salvia miltiorrhiza (redroot sage)
Lineage: Eukaryota; Viridiplantae; Streptophyta; Magnoliopsida; Lamiales; Lamiaceae
Description: long non-coding RNA (SMIL_LNC008873)
Source: RNAcentral